RNAcentral lists this ribosomal RNA (541 nucleotides) under Mesocriconema xenoplax. RNAcentral's name for it is "eukaryotic LSU rRNA". It matches the Rfam family "Eukaryotic large subunit ribosomal RNA", at positions 420 to 813 of the family's 3401-position model. Lineage: Eukaryota; Metazoa; Nematoda; Chromadorea; Rhabditida; Criconematidae. The record is from RNAcentral.
CGGAUAGAGCUAGCGAAGUCGCUCGUAUUCAGCCAAAAGUCUGGGGUUGCCUAUCGUCGUGUUUCUCAUCGAGCACGGCGGUUUGUCUUCUCUGGAUUGAGGUGCAUUUGCGGGCGUUUGCGCUGAGACUUGCGAGGCAGCUGCGGGACCGGCGUCUAGAGGCUUCCCAUUGGGUCGAACCUGGGCACCGUUACAGCUGUUUGCCUUGCUCGUACUGGUCUGGCUUACGGACCCUGCUCGUGCUGUUGUCACCUGGCCAAGGCAUCGCAUGCGAUGUCUAGUCUGAGGGCUGCAGCGCGGGUUGGUGUCCCCGGAUCGCAUCUCGGUGUAGAAGCUGGUCAUCUCUCCGACCCGUCUUGAAACACGGACCAAGGAGUUUAGCGUAUGCGCGAGUCAUUGGGUGUUAAAACUCACAGGCGCAAUGAAAGUGAAGGCUCGGUCGCCGGGCUGACAUGCGAGUGCCGCGGCUUCGGCCCAGGUAUGCAGCAUGGUCCCAUUGCAAUCGUUUACGAUACAGUGGAGACAGAGCGUAUGCGCUGAG